This 497-nucleotide ribosomal RNA is filed under the name uncultured bacterium. RNAcentral describes it as "partial 16S ribosomal RNA". It matches the Rfam family "Bacterial small subunit ribosomal RNA", at positions 28 to 507 of the family's 1533-position model. The record is from RNAcentral.
GAUGAACGCUGGCGGCGUGCCUAAUACAUGCAAGUCGAGCGAACAGACGAGGAGCUUGCUCCUCUGACGUUAGCGGCGGACGGGUGAGUAACACGUGGAUAACCUACCUAUAAGACUGGGAUAACUUCGGGAAACCGGAGCUAAUACCGGAUAAUAUCUUGAACCGCAUGGUUCAAUAGUGAAAGACGGCUUUGCUGUCACUUAUAGAUGGAUCCGCGCUGCAUUAGCUAGUUGGUAAGGUAACGGCUUACCAAGGCAACGAUGCGUAGCCGACCUGUGAGGGUGGUAGGCCACACUGGAACUGCAACAACGUCAAGACUCCUACGAGAGGCAGCAGUAGGGAAUCUUACGCAAUGGGCGAGAGCCUGACGGAGCAACGCCGCGUGAGUGAUGAAGGUCUUCGGAUCGUAAAACUCUGUUAUUAGGGAAGAACAAAUGUGUAAGUAACUAUGCACGUCUUGACGGUACCUAAUCAGAAAGCCACGGCUAACUACGUG